This 360-nucleotide ribosomal RNA is filed under the name uncultured bacterium. Its description in RNAcentral is "partial 16S ribosomal RNA". It matches the Rfam family "Bacterial small subunit ribosomal RNA", at positions 338 to 709 of the family's 1533-position model. The record is from RNAcentral.
CCUACGGGCGGCAGCAGUCGAGAAUCUUUGACAAUGGGGGAAACCCUGAUGGUGCGACGCCGCGUGGGGGAAUGAAGGUCUUCGGAUUGUAAACCCCUGUCAUGUGGGAGCAAAUUAAAAAGAUAGUACCACCAGAGGAAGAGACGGCUAACAAUGGGCCAGCAGCCGCGGUUAUACAGAGGUCUCAAGCGUUGUUCGGAAUCACUGGGCGUAAAGCGUGCGGGGGCUGUUUCGUAAGGCGUGUGUGAAAGGCGCGGGCCCAACCCGCGGACGGCACAUGAUACUGGGAGUCUAGAGUGAGCGAGAAGUAAGCGGAAUGCGCGGUGUAGCAGUGAAAUGCGUAGAUAUCGAGCAGAACAC